Molecule: small RNA, 149 nt
Filed under: Psychrobacillus sp. FJAT-21963
Lineage: Bacteria; Bacillati; Bacillota; Bacilli; Caryophanales; Bacillaceae
Also listed under: 1 other name
Description: c-di-AMP riboswitch aptamer (ydaO/yuaA leader)
Rfam family: c-di-AMP riboswitch aptamer (ydaO/yuaA leader)
About the family: This family represents a conserved RNA structure found upstream of the ydaO and yuaA genes in Bacillus subtilis and related genes in other bacteria. The ydaO/yuaA element is thought to act as a genetic "off" switch for the ydaO and yuaA genes in its native state.
Source: Rfam by way of RNAcentral
AAUUCUAUAUCGCUUAAUCCAAACGGAGCGGGGGAACCAUUUUAUGUGGCUCGAUGAGUCAUAUGGGGUGAAUCCUACGAAUGUAGGUAGGGCUACUCUUUUAGCCCGAAUCCGACAGCUAACCUCGUAAGCGUAAUGAGAGAGGAGAU